Molecule: ribosomal RNA, 460 nt
Filed under: uncultured bacterium
Lineage: Bacteria
Description: partial 16S ribosomal RNA
Rfam family: Bacterial small subunit ribosomal RNA
Source: RNAcentral
CCUACGGGGGGCUGCAGUGAGGAAUAUUGGUCAAUGGGCGGGAGCCUGAACCAGCCAAGUCGCGUGAGGGAAGACGGUCCUAUGGAUUGUAAACCUCUUUAGGCGGGGAGCAAUGCCGGGCACGUGUGCCCGGAGGGAGAGUACCCGCAGAAUAAGCAUCGGCUAACUCCGUGCCAGCAGCCGCGGUAAUACGGAGGAUGCGAGCGUUAUCCGGAUUUAUUGGGUUUAAAGGGUGUGAAGGCGGAUUUUUAAGUCAGCGGUAAAAUGUCCGGGCUCAACCCGGGCCGGCCGUUGAAACUGGGGAGCUUGAGUGGGCGAGAAGUAUGCGGAAUGCGUGGUGUAGCGGUGAAAUGCAUAGAUAUCACGCAGAACUCCGAUUGCGAAGGCAGCAUACCGGCGCCCGACUGACGCUGAGGCACGAAAGUGUGGGGAUCGAACAGGAUUAGAUACCCGAGUAGUC